AAUGGAGGGACGCCACCAGCACGCGGAGGGGAGCCAUGCAGAUGAGGCUGCGGUGCACCUGGGAUUCAGCCACCUUCGUUCCUUUUACUGCUGAGUGUCCAUCACGUGCUGCUCAUGCAGAAGUGCUCAAGUUCGCUGUAAACGUAGUUUUCAUUUCUCCCGGGUGGAGACCUCCAUAAGUAGGUAGGUUGGUGGAAUGUUUCACUGCAUGAGAGUCUGCCAGGAAGUUUUGCAGUGUGGUCCCGUCUUGUUCUUCCCGCAGAGGGUGAUAGCUCUGCUGACUCCCAGCCCUCACAGGCUCUAGGGAUUGAGCCUGUUUCUGUGGAACGCCUUCCAUGGUCUGCGAGGUGCACAGAGGGGUCUCAAAAAGCUUCCAGGUUGCAUCUUCCCAUGGACUGAUGCUGAGCGUGUUCUCAUCUCCCAUCCGGAUGUUUUCUUUGGUUGGAGUGCAACGGCGCGAUCUUGGCUCACUGCAACCUCCCCCCAC
RNAcentral lists this long non-coding RNA (487 nucleotides) under Homo sapiens (human). Its description in RNAcentral is "HSALNT0355472". Lineage: Eukaryota; Metazoa; Chordata; Mammalia; Primates; Hominidae. The record is from RNAcentral.